GAACGCACCUUGCGCCCUUUGGCUAUUCCGAAGGGCAUGCCUGUUUGAGUAUCAUGAACACCUCAACUCUCAUGGUUUGCCGUGAUGAGCUUGGACUUUGGGGGUCUUGCUGGCCUACGGUCAGCUCCCCUAAAAUGAAUCAGCUUGCCAGUGUUUGGUGGGAUCACAGGUGUGAUAACUAUCUACGCUUGUGGUUUUCCACCAGAUAACCUUCAGUGAUGGAGGUUCGCUGGAGCUCAUAAAUGUCUCUCCUCAGUGAAGACAGCUUUUUGAACGUUUGAUCUCAAAUCAGGUAGGGCUACCCGCUGAACUUAAG
RNAcentral lists this unclassified non-coding RNA (316 nucleotides) under uncultured Thelephoraceae. RNAcentral describes it as "sequence contains 5.8S rRNA gene". Lineage: Eukaryota; Fungi; Basidiomycota; Agaricomycetes; Thelephorales; Thelephoraceae. The record is from RNAcentral.